RNAcentral lists this ribosomal RNA (467 nucleotides) under uncultured bacterium. RNAcentral describes it as "partial 16S ribosomal RNA". It matches the Rfam family "Bacterial small subunit ribosomal RNA", at positions 28 to 507 of the family's 1533-position model. The record is from RNAcentral.
GACGAACGCUGGCGGCGUGCUUAACACAUGCAAGUCGAACGGAAAGGCCCUGCUUUUGUGGGGUGCUCGAGUGGCGAACGGGUGAGUAACACGUGAGUAACCUGCCCUUGACUUUGGGAUAACUUCAGGAAACUGGGGCUAAUACCGGAUAGGAGCUCCUGCUGCAUGGUGGGGGUUGGAAAGUUUCGGCGGUUGGGAUGGACUCGCGGCUUAUCAGCUUGUUGGUGGGGUAGUGGCUUACCAAGGCUUUGACGGGUAGCCGGCCUGAGAGGGUGACCGGCCACAUUGGGACUGAGAUACGGCCCAGACUCCUACGGGAGGCAGCAGUGGGGAAUAUUGCACAAUGGGCGGAAGCCUGAUGCAGCAACGCCGCGUGCGGGAUGACGGCCUUCGGGUUGUAAACCGCUUUCGCCCGUGACGAAGCGUGAGUGACGGUAAUGGGUAAAGAAGCACCGGCUAACUACGUG